Molecule: long non-coding RNA, 1211 nt
Organism: Astatotilapia calliptera (eastern happy)
Lineage: Eukaryota; Metazoa; Chordata; Actinopteri; Cichliformes; Cichlidae
Source: Ensembl
GUUUAUAUUUGUAAGUUUCCUUUAAUUGUGGAACUUUGUUUUGUAAUUGGUGGUAGCGGAAGUAACGUGCAGCACGGACUGAGUUUGUGGUGACACUAGAGCAGAGAAGCAUGGCGCUCUGUGAGUUCAGCUGCAUCGUCCUACUGCUUUAAACUGGACUUAAGUUUUAAAGAACACAUAAGUUAAGUUAAGUUAAAUUAAACCCAAUUGUGGACUCACCGUUGAGAGGAGUAGCGGCUCGCGCGAAGAACGGACUUUCUCCCGUUUGGCUACAGCAGGCAAUGAGGUGUGUUCAGGGUGCCUCUGUUAAUUUCAGUUUCAAUGAAAGUGCCAUAAAAGGGCAUUUAUGUGUCUAUACCUUUAUUGUUUGGAUUUACUGUGAUAAGAGUUAUUGUAAACAUGUUGCUUAUUGCAAUUGUUUUCUUUGGGUAGUUCUCACGAUGAUGAUGAUGAUGACGACGCUGAGUGAUCUUGUCGCCGAACAUUGAAUAAAUCAUCUGUAAACAAGAACUUGUCCGCGUGGUGGCUAACGGGAGCUACAGGUGGUCUGGCGUCACGUCUGCUUUGGUUGUGGUUGUGGGGUUCCCUCGCUCAAAACGAGCAUAAAAGUUGUUGAGCUCGUUGAGGAAGGAGACAUCAGAGGAUGCGGGGGAGGGUUUGGUGGUCCUGUAGUCUGUGAUGGUCUGGAGUCCUUGCCACAUGCGUCGGGGGUUGGAGUUGGAGAAGUGUUCUUCUACCUUCUUUUUGUAAUGGUGUUUGGCUUUUUUGAUGCCCUUCUUUAGAUUAGCCCUGGCUGUACUGUAGGCGUGUGCAUCUCCUGACCUAAAGGCAGUGUUGCGGGCCUUCAGGAGGAGACGAACAUCCCGGUUCAUCCAAGGCUUCUGGUUGGGGUACAUGGUGAUCCGUUUCUGGGUGGUGACACUAUUAAGCCCUUAUUUAUAAAUGUUUACACAAUAAUAGACACCGUGUGCUCUGUGACAUUGUAGUCUUCUACUUCUGCUUCCAUCGGUUUGCAUUUUAAACUCCCAGCCUUUGACGCCAUCACCGAGGCAUACGACAAUCUAGUGGGGGAGGAUGUGGUGAAAAUCCGACAGCUGUGGAUGGUCACAGAGUGUUACCAAUGGCGCGGCUGAUGUUUCUCUGAAAGACUGAUUCUUUCUAAAUAAUAUAAGCCGUUCAUAACAACCUGAGAGACUGGGAGUUUAAAAUGC